GUCUCUGUCGCGCAAUGGGUUAGCGCGUUCGGCUGUUAACCGAAAGGUUGAUGGUUCGCAUCCAUCCAGGGACG
This 74-nucleotide transfer RNA is filed under the name Paramuricea clavata. It matches the Rfam family "tRNA". From Rfam's summary of the family: Transfer RNA (tRNA) molecules are approximately 80 nucleotides in length. Their secondary structure includes four short double-helical elements and three loops (D, anti-codon, and T loops). Lineage: Eukaryota; Metazoa; Cnidaria; Anthozoa; Malacalcyonacea; Plexauridae. The record is from Rfam by way of RNAcentral.